Non-coding RNA from Oryza glaberrima (African rice), 196 nucleotides. NCBI's taxonomy places the organism in Eukaryota, Viridiplantae, Streptophyta, Magnoliopsida, Poales, Poaceae. The record is from Rfam.
AAAAAGACAAACCCUGGGUUUCCGUAUCCAAUUUUGACGGUCCGUCUUAUAUGAAAUUUUUUAUAAUUCGUAUUUUCAUUGUUAGAUGAUAAAAUAUAAUUAAUAUUUUAUAUAUGACUUGUCUUUUUAAUAUUUUUCAUAAUUUUUUCAAAUAAAACGGACGGUCAAGGCACGGAAACGAAAGUUUAUUUUCACG